CAACUUUCAACAACGAUCUCUUGGCUCUCGCAUCGAUGAAGAACGCAGCGAAAUGCGAUAAGUAAUGUGAAUUGCAGAAUUCAGUGAAUCAUCGAAUCUUUGAA
This 104-nucleotide ribosomal RNA is filed under the name Amanita citrina. Its description in RNAcentral is "5.8S ribosomal RNA". It matches the Rfam family "5.8S ribosomal RNA", at positions 1 to 104 of the family's 154-position model. From Rfam's summary of the family: 5.8S ribosomal RNA (5.8S rRNA) is a component of the large subunit of the eukaryotic ribosome. It is transcribed by RNA polymerase I as part of the 45S precursor that also contains 18S and 28S rRNA. The record is from RNAcentral. Lineage: Eukaryota; Fungi; Basidiomycota; Agaricomycetes; Agaricales; Amanitaceae.